This is a non-coding RNA of Myodes glareolus (Bank vole), 1517 nucleotides long. The record is from RefSeq and is a predicted model, not a curated record. NCBI's taxonomy places the organism in Eukaryota, Metazoa, Chordata, Mammalia, Rodentia, Cricetidae.
GCUGAGGGAGGCCUGGAAGCAGCAUUUCUCAACUUCAGGUCUCCUGAUGACUAAUUUUAUAUGUCAACUCGACUGGGAUAAAGGACUCUCAAACAACUGGCUCUCCUAAAGUAAGAUAUUGAUGCUAUCCACUGUUAGAUGCCAUGGUCCCAGGUGGAGAGAUUUGCUAGCCAAGAGCCAGAAGCAUUCAAACUGUUGCAAGGACCUAUGAGAAUGCUGAAUACCUGUAGGGUGCGCAUGAAACCAGAAUGAGGCAGACUUUUUCACAGAGGACCUCCUGGUAUCCUGGCCCUUCCACUCUUUUCUCCUGCCUCUCUUGAGAUGUUCCCUGAGCCAUGGACACAGGCGCUGUGAGGAUUGCAAGACUGCUGGCGGCAGAAAGAUAUCUAAGCAAAUGAUCAGAGCUGACCAGAACUGAGUAAAUCAGAAAAUAAAAAAAGAACAUAAAGCAAGUAAACAAAUUUUCAGGAACCUAUCUCCCUCCAAGAUCGCCACAAAAUGUCAGCGCAUUAACGUGAAAACCCAACCUGCUACGAUACGCUUUAGAUGUAACCACCACAAAAUUGUAAUCACUCAAGAAUCACCCAGCAAGAGGUUGUAAUAAGAUGGCUGUGACCUCAAUUUAUAUAUGAAGAGGAUAAAGAUGAGAAAAACAGCCGAAAACUGAGACCAAGAAGCUUUUUAUGUGACAUCUCAAAGUACUGUGACUACACUUUGAGGGUACAACCUAGGCCCUCAGAUUUCAACAUGGUCACCCAUUGGCCUCUUAUAAAACCCAGAUGAAGGCCUGAAUUCCUAUGCAGUUUCAGAGAUCCCGUUUCAUGUCUUUCAGUCCAUCAGGCACCAGGUUUGAUUCAUGAGAUGUGCCUGGCUGUUCAUAUGAUGUCCUGUGACAUCUCACUACUCUGCAAAGUCUCCAACAGCAAGAAAAGACCUCAGCAAGUAUUAUCUCUCAACACUGACCAACUCAACCUUCAGGUUCCAGAUGCUGUAGCAGUCUUAGCCUUUGGGUUGGUGGAGACAAGAAGUCUGCUAAGCUUAGCAAUACAUCCCAGGAGCGUUGCCUAAUUGUCACAGAAAUGUGAGGUCCGGUGCUGAGGUUGGAAGUAAACGGCUAGUGGAGAUAGCCUGUGAAAAUGUUGGCGUCAGUCUGCAUCCUGUCUCUCUACAGUCACAAUACUGUGCUUAGUCAAGGGAAUGAGCAAAUCUGUCUCCCAUCUAAGAAGCCGCCCUUCUUAAAGAAUGUUCACUUCUUCCCCACCUGCCUCAUAUGUAAGGAACCCACAAGGACCUCAGUCUGCCCAGACACAAAAGUCAGAAAGAGCCAUUGCCGCUGGUAAUGUUUACUCUCUGUAUUCACAGCUCACUCUUCCAUCCAAGCAAAUCCUUCCCGUGGGAGAAAGGAAGACAUACGGCACAAAAAAAUCUGUCAAGGUGUCUCAGCAAAACACCCAGAUGUGUGUUUAACAGAGUCCUUUAAGUAUGGCAAUGAUCUAUUAAAGUGCUGGUGUUUCAAC